GAUGAACGCUGGCGGCGUGCCUAAUACAUGCAAGUCGAGCGAACAGACGAGGAGCUUGCUCCUCUGACGUUAGCGGCGGACGGGUGAGUAACGCGUGGAUAACCUACCUAUAAGACUGGGAUAACUUCGGGAGACCGGAGCUAAUACCGGAUAAUAUAUUGAACCGCAUGGUUCAAUAGUGAAAGACGGUUUUGCUGUCACUUAUAGAUGGAUCCGCGCCGCAUUAGCUAGUUGGUAAGGUAACGGCUUACCAAGGCGACGAUGCGUAGCCGACCUGAGAGGGUGAUCGGCCACACUGGAACUGAGACACGGUCCAGACUCCUACGGGAGGCAGCAGUAGGGAAUCUUCCGCAAUGGGCGAAAGCCUGACGGAGCAACGCCGCGUGAGUGAUGAAGGUCUUCGGAUCGUAAAACUCUGUUAUUAGGGAAGAACAAAUGUGUAAGUAACUAUGCACGUCUUGACGGUACCUAAUCAGAAAGCCACGGCUAACUACGUG
RNAcentral lists this ribosomal RNA (497 nucleotides) under uncultured bacterium. RNAcentral describes it as "partial 16S ribosomal RNA". It matches the Rfam family "Bacterial small subunit ribosomal RNA", at positions 28 to 507 of the family's 1533-position model. The record is from RNAcentral.